GACCCGCUUUUAUCUCUCUUAUUCCUCACGUUGGAUUACUCAAUGCACAUACAAAUGACUAAAAAAUAAAAUCAUAUUCCCAGAUACUAUGCUACUCCAGUAUCCAGGUGGCAUGUAAGCCACUAUGUAACUGGCAAAGACAAUUGAGAAUUCAGACGAGAGAUAUUGCCACAUUGGCAUGAGAGGAAUUAAUCAUUCAAUGCAACUAAAUUUCAGAAAAAGAAGUUAUUAAGCAGAGACAACGGAGCUUGCAUAUUACAUUAUUACAUAGAUCAAUCUUCCUUGCAACUUGAUUGGAUUUUCAUUGACCUUGUAUGCAUAUGUAAGAGAGAAUCUGCAUAAACAAAGAUUAGAGAUUCGGGGGAUUAAUGAAAAGAGAGUAGUAGGACAGAGAGAAAGUGGACAAAUCAGUAGGAAGUAGGACUAGUAGCACACCUAGUCCUAAAAAAUAGGGACCGGCCUCACUGAGGCAUGGAGCUGCUCGUGGUAACAGAGCAGCGGAGUUACCUAGGUGAAUAACGUACGUGGCGAAAAAUAUUCCACGGCUAGCACAAAACCUGUGAAGUAUGAAGACAACACAAUUACAUCUACAUGAGGAGCAGGCUGCGAGGUUGGCGGUAUUUACCACGGUGACUUUCUAUAGGUCAGGCCUCUAAUAGUGGCCCACCGAAAAGUUACAAGCUCUGUGCACAAUAAAAAAAACAGGGACAAGGAACCAUUUACGAAGUGCUGCAUGUAUUUCCUAUGUAACAAAGAAAUAAUAGGAAACUGGAGAUGUGUUUAUUGGACUAGCACAUAGUUCCAUAUGCUAGUCAGUAGUAAGUGAGGGCAUUCUACAUUGUUUGCUGUAUCACUGCACUAGGACAUCAAAACAAACGACAAAGUUAAAGGUUAUGUUUCACUUUGUCAUUCAACUUGAUGGCAACAACUUGUACAACUAAAAAAUAUCAGGUCAUUAACAGCAGAUGCUUUACUUAACUAUAGCUUGUUAAAAAUAAAGCUAAAAGUCUGCACAACCAUGCAUACUUUUGUAUGCUAAAAACCCUUAGAAGAAUAAUAUAGAAUAUUGAAUCCCUGAUUCUCAACUGAACAUUUACUAAAUGCAUUGUAAGAAUCUGGCAAGCCCUUGUAGUACUUCUCCGUAUGCCUACAUGCAAGUGUACAUAUGCAGCGCGUUGCAUCAGAUUUCAGCAAGUACUAACAUCUAAUCUAAGAUGUUUAACAUAUGGGGUGUUGUACCUAGGUGUAUCCAUCCAAUCUUUGUCCAUGCUAGUUGCACCUGCACACAUGAUUAAUAGUGAAUUUAAAUGCCUCACACACUGUCCACACACAAAAAAACUAGAAAAUUCAAAAUGUGAAUAGAACUCUGAAACUGAAACUAAAAUCAAAAUCAAACCCUUUCUAUGCCUCGCAUGUGGAUCAUAGGAAACAAAAUAGGUGUUCCAGGAAUUGAACUUCAUAGGAAACAAUUAAGUCUAGAAAGAAUUCAUUAUAUCAUUAUCAAAUAGUGUCUAACAGUAUAAGAAAAAACCUUUUGGAAAUCCACAUGUCGUUCGGAUCCCGCUGGUUAGUAGGUUUGGCCCCCUUCUUUUGCCAGGCACUGCUUUAAAUGUUCACCAACAAUGUUAUACAUGUGGUGUCAUACAUUGUCCACACACAAAAUAACAGGAAAAGGCCAAUUCUAAAAUAUACAAGUUCAAGAUAAGUUGCUGCUUAUCAAGGAAUAGCAAGAGAUUAUGCAAGUCAGGUACAAUAUUGUUAUCAUGACAACUAGGAACUAAAGGUGCCACGCUAAAUUGGUAUCUUAAUUUAUGGGCGGAGGCAAGAGCUGAAACUGAACCAGAAUCUCAAGUUUUGGUUUGCCUUAUAAUGUAUUACUGCUACACAGAUAAUUAUUGUUCUUGUGCAUGAUCUCAACUUGUCACAGGACAUCAUUAGCAUUUUCAUAUAUUCUCUCGGAUCCCACUUUUCAAAGCCAGAACAACACUCAAGAGUCUAAACUAUGGUGACAACCCAAGGUUCAGAGCAAUAAAUAUAUCAUUAAAAUCAGUCUAAAUGUGCCAUUUUCCACAAAGUAUCAUCAUAGUUAAGAUUUAUAGCUAAGUUCUAUGUUCCAAAUUUAAGCAGUAUGCUAGUUACUUAUGAUGAUAAUACACUAAGCAAAUUUCUUUUGAUAACGAAGGCCAACCAAAUUGACCACUAUGCAGAAGGUGUGCUCAUGCAUAACAACUACACUGUUUUCUUCUCAAAGCACAUAGUACGUGUAAAUUAGCUUUCAAAAUCCACACAUAACAUAAGCAGGAACAUGUGGAGGGGAAAAACAAUUCUUCCGAAGAGAAAUCGUUGUAUUGCUGGGAAAUAGAUAACACAUGAGGUGGAUAAAGACCUUGCAUUAGAAGGACUAAAACCAACCCACUGUCCUAGUUGGAUCUGGAAGAGGCAUCUUGGAGCAUACCUUCUUGGCCGGCAGCACCUCCAGGAGAUGGUGAGCUUGGGCGCGGACGAAAAGGGAAGCUCCCGGCAGGGUUUGGAGGGCGACGGCAAGACCAC
RNAcentral lists this long non-coding RNA (2550 nucleotides) under Triticum aestivum (bread wheat). Its description in RNAcentral is "long non-coding RNA (TAES_LNC007919)". Lineage: Eukaryota; Viridiplantae; Streptophyta; Magnoliopsida; Poales; Poaceae. The record is from RNAcentral.